CAGCCGCCGCGGUAAUACGGAGGGUGCAAGCGUUAAUCGGAAUUACUGGGCGUAAAGCGCACGCAGGCGGUUUGUUAAGUCAGAUGUGAAAUCCCCGAGCUUAACUUGGGAACUGCAUUUGAAACUGGCAAGCUAGAGCCUUGUAGAGGGGGGUAGAAUUCCAGGUGUAGCGGUGAAAUGCGUAGAGAUCGGGAGGAACAUCAGUGGCGAAGGCGGCCAUCUGGGACAACACUGACGCUGAGGCACGAAAGCGUGGGGAGCAAACAGGAUUAGAUACCCGCGUAGUCCCUGUCUCUUAUAC
This 301-nucleotide ribosomal RNA is filed under the name uncultured bacterium. RNAcentral describes it as "partial 16S ribosomal RNA". It matches the Rfam family "Bacterial small subunit ribosomal RNA", at positions 509 to 807 of the family's 1533-position model. The record is from RNAcentral.